CAGCCGCCGCGGGAAUACGAAGGGGGCUAGCGUUACUCGGAAUUACUGGGCGUAAAGGGCGCGUAGGCGGCACGAUUAGUCAGGCGUGAAAUUCCUGGGCUCAACCUGGGGACUGCGCUUGAUACGGUCGAGCUAGAGGAUGGAAGAGGGUCGUGGAAUUCCCAGUGUAGAGGUGAAAUUCGUAGAUAUUGGGAAGAACACCGGUGGCGAAGGCGACGACCUGGUCCAUUACUGACGCUGAGGCGCGACAGCGUGGGGAGCAAACAGGAUUAGAUACCCCAGUAGUCCCUGUCUCUUAUAC
RNAcentral lists this ribosomal RNA (301 nucleotides) under uncultured bacterium. RNAcentral describes it as "partial 16S ribosomal RNA". It matches the Rfam family "Bacterial small subunit ribosomal RNA", at positions 509 to 807 of the family's 1533-position model. The record is from RNAcentral.